AUGCCGCAGUGCCGCCUCCUCCUGGCUGCCGUGGCCCUUUUGGGGGCUGUGGCGGCGGCCGUGGCGCAGCAGCCGCUCGCGUCGCCGUCGGACCUGGCGGGGCUGUACAGCCUGCGGGCGUCGCUGGGUUUGCGGGCGCGGGAGUGGCCCGCGAGGGCCGACCCGUGCACGGCCUGGGCGGGGGUCAUGUGCCGCGCCGGCCGCGUCGUGGGCGUCAGCGUCGCGGGGUUCCGCCGCACCCGCCUCGCGAGCCGCGCGCCGGCGUUCGCGGUCGACGGGCUGCGGAACCUCACAGCGCUCGAGCUCUUCAACGCCUCCGGUUUCCCGCUCCCCGGCGAGGUGCCCGCGUGGUUCAGCCGCGACCUCCCGCAGCCGCUCGCCGUGCUCGACCUCCGCUACGCCGCAGUCAAUGGCACGCUCCCGCCCGAUCUCGGCUCAUCGGGGAAUCUGACUAGGCUGCUCCUCUCCGGGAACAGCCUCUCGGGCCAGGUUCCGGAGACGCUGCUCUCCGUCAAAGGCCUUCGCGUUCUUGACCUCUCCACCAACAAUUUCACCGGGGAGCUACCCAGCGUCUCGGUCGGCGCCGGUGAUGUAGCGGCGUCGUUGUUUAACAUUUCAGGGAAUUCUCUGUAUGGUGUGGCCACUGAUGCCAUUGGGGCACUCAAGACGAGAUUCCGGCUGGUGGACGUGUCAAGCAACUACCUCGAUGGAAAUUGGAAUGGAUCCGAUGCAACGGUGGAUGUUAGCGUGAAUUGCUUCUCUGGUGUCUCCGGUCAGCGCCGCCAUGUUGAUUGUGAAGACUUCUAUAGGAGGGAAGGGGUGAGACUUGUUGAUAUUCCAGUGCCUGCACCUUUGCCUCAGCCAUCACCGGAGAAGAGCCGUGGGAUCUCCAAAAAUGUACUUAUUGGGGUUCUUGCAGCCGCGGCAGCAUUGAUGGUUAUGUUUUUGGUUGCAUUGCUUUUCUGUUUGAUGAGGAGGAGACAAAGAGGAGGUGGGAGAGGGGCGGAAACAAAUGAGGAAGGUGCACGCGGCAUGCGUAGGAGGGACAGCAGCGUAAAUCCUGUGGCCUCAUCACCGGCAGCAGUGUCCCCGAGAGCCGAUGCUACUCCUAAGGACGCGAUUACCGUUUUUGGUGAGUUGACCUAUGAGCAAUUGGUCCAUGCCACCGGGGGCUUUGGUGAUGACAACCUCCUCAAGCAUGGGCAUUCGGGGGAUAUUUACCAUGGUGUGUUGGAGAAUGGCGCACAUGUCAUCGUCAAGAAGAUUGGUACAAAGAGUAUCAACAAAGUUUCAAGCGAAUUGGACUUCUAUUCGAGGUACUCACAUGAGAGGAUUGUUCCGUUGCUCGGCCAUCUGGCCAACAAUGACGAAGAAUUUCUGUCCUACAAGUAUAUGCCAAAGGCGGACUUGACCAAUGCAUUGCACAAGAAACCUGUGGACACUGAAGAUGGCUUGCACUCAUUGGAUUGGAUAACUAGACUGAAGAUCGCCACUGGUGUAGCUGAGGCCAUGUGCUUCCUUCAUGACGAGUGCAGCCCACCAUUCGUUCACAGAGAUAUCCAAGCAAGCAGUGUGCUUCUUGAUGAUAAAUUUGAAGUGCGACUCGGAAGUAUGAGUAACAUAUGCGCUCAGCAAAGUGCAGGAAGCCAGAAUGUUUUCUCUCGGAUCUUGAGAUCAUCAAAGUCUCUUGACAAGAACACAUCAGGCCCACCAGCAACUUGUUCAUACGAUGUUUACUGCUUUGGGAAGGUGAUCCUUGAGCUAGUAACAGGCAAUUUUGGUGUAAGUGGAUCAAACGAUGCUGGCUCCGAGGAGUGGCUGGCGAACACAACAAAUCGCAUCAGCAUCAGUGACAAGGAUAGCAUUACUAAUAUCAUCGAUCCUUUACUUGUCGUUGAUGAGGACCAUCUUGAAGAAGUAUGGGCAGUGGCGAUCGUCGCAAAGACGUGCCUAAACUCAAAGCCGUCAAGGCGUCCCUCUGCUCGCUACGUCUUGAAAGCCCUGGAGAAUCCGCUGAGGGUGGUCCGAGCGGGUUCCCGGUCCAACUCCGCAAGGCUCAGGAGCUCGUCAUCGCGGAGCUCAUGGCAGUCUACUUUUCUUCAGGGCAGUCGUUACCAGAGCUACGAGGUCAUGUCGCCAUCAGGGCGAAUGCUUGAUCGCAGAGGCUCGGUUAGGUCACAUAUUAGUGGGGGAGAAGCUUCCUCGUCCUUCAAGAGAUCUUUGCGGGAGAUUGCUCCAGACCCGCAAGUGCUGGACGAGGACGUCGCUGUGUAG
This 2274-nucleotide ribosomal RNA is filed under the name Triticum aestivum (bread wheat). RNAcentral describes it as "partial small subunit ribosomal RNA". The record is from RNAcentral. Lineage: Eukaryota; Viridiplantae; Streptophyta; Magnoliopsida; Poales; Poaceae.